RNAcentral lists this ribosomal RNA (253 nucleotides) under uncultured bacterium. RNAcentral describes it as "partial 16S ribosomal RNA". It matches the Rfam family "Bacterial small subunit ribosomal RNA", at positions 524 to 776 of the family's 1533-position model. The record is from RNAcentral.
UACGUAGGGUGCGAGCGUUGUCCGGAAUUAUUGGGCGUAAAGGGCUCGUAGGCGGUUUGUCGCGUCGGGAGUGAAAUCCACUGGCUUAACUGGUGGCUUGCUUUCGAUACGGGCAGACUGGAGGUAUGCAGGGGAGAACGGAAUUCCUGGUGUAGCGGUGAAAUGCGCAGAUAUCAGGAGGAACACCGGUGGCGAAGGCGGCUUGCUGGGCGUGAUCUGACGCUGAGGCGCGAAAGCGUGGGGAGCGAACAGG